UACGGAGGGGGCUAGCGUUGUUCGGAAUUACUGGGCGUAAAGCGCACGUAGGCGGCUUUGUAGGUUAGAGGUGAAAGCCCAGAGCUCAACUCUGGAACUGCCUUUAAGACUGCAUCGCUUGAAUUGUGGAGAGGUAAGUGGAAUUCCGAGUGUAGAGGUGAAAUUCGUAGAUAUUCGGAAGAACACCAGUGGCGAAGGCGACUUACUGUACACAUAUUGACGCUGAGGUGCGAAAGCGUGGGGAGCAAACAGG
This 253-nucleotide ribosomal RNA is filed under the name uncultured bacterium. Its description in RNAcentral is "partial 16S ribosomal RNA". It matches the Rfam family "Bacterial small subunit ribosomal RNA", at positions 524 to 776 of the family's 1533-position model. The record is from RNAcentral.